Molecule: long non-coding RNA, 782 nt
Filed under: Suricata suricatta (meerkat)
Lineage: Eukaryota; Metazoa; Chordata; Mammalia; Carnivora; Herpestidae
Description: lncRNA (ENSSSUG00005001437.1)
Source: RNAcentral
GCCCUGGCAUGGCUGAAGGGUGAUUGGCGAAAGUGUUCUCCUUUGGAGAAAAGACUUUUUGUGCUCGUGACGCAGUCAGGGACGGAUUAUUGAAUAUGCAAGUUAGAAGAAAAAUCACAGGACAAGCAAAUUGAGUAUUUACUGGCAAAUAAUUGCUCUCUUAAGCUGUGGCUCUCUUCCUAAAUUCUUAACAUUCCCGAGGGUUAGAAAGAAACACAGAAAAAUGCAUCGGUACAGAGUACAUUUCAAAAAAAAUACAUAGACUGAUGUUUCAGACUUGUGCAGAAUGUUUAACCAUCACUAACUGGAUACUUCUCACAACAUUGCUGUCUGGUAGGGGGAAGAACAGAAGAGUUCUGUCUCAGCCAGAAUUUGGAAGGAAGAGACUAACUCAUCAGAGAGAGCAGUGGCUGGCACUUUUCCUCCACGCUUUGAGACAAAGAGAAUUGGCUGGAAUAAAACCUUGCUUUCCAUAUGGUCGACUUGAAUGAAAUACAGCAUUGAAAAGUUCCUUGACCAUCAGUCUGUGGCCUGCCACUUUUCUUUAUGUAAGUAAAAGUGGUUUUUUACUUUUGCAAAAAGUGUCAUGUUUGGGAAAUUUGGAUCUUUAGUGGCAUGGUUUCUGGUUGACUUUGUUGUGGUUCCCGGCAUUUCUUCGCUAUGUAUUAGCUUCCUUGGGGUUUGGAACUGAUGCUGUUGGUGGUGGUAGUGAUUGCCAUCCGUGAGGGAGCUGAAAAGCCCAGGGUCCCCAGCAUUGGAUUUACAUAAAGACUGCCUUUUAC